UACCAGCCCCCUGAGUGGUAAAGACGAUUAUUUGGCUUAAAGCGUCCGUAGCCGGCUUAGUGAGUCUCUUGUUAAAUCCAAUGAUUCAAUCAUUGAACUGCAAGAGAUACUACUAUGCUAGAGGACGGGAGAGGUCGACGGUAGUCCAAGGGUAGGGGUGAAAUCCUAUAAUCCUUGGAGGACCACCAGUGGCGAAGGCGGUCGACUAGAACGUGCCUGACGGUGAGGGACGAAAGCUGGGGGAGCGAACCGGAUUAGAUACCCGGGUAGUCCCAGCUGUAAACGAUGCGGGCUAGGUGUAGGGGCAGCUACGAGCUGCUCCUGUGCCGCAGAGAAAUUGUUAAGCCCGCCGCCUGGGGAGUACGAUCGCAAGAUUGAAACUUAAAGGAAUUGGCGGGGGAGCACCACGAAGGGGUGAAGGCUGCGGUUU
RNAcentral lists this ribosomal RNA (430 nucleotides) under uncultured archaeon. RNAcentral's name for it is "bacterial SSU rRNA". It matches the Rfam family "Archaeal small subunit ribosomal RNA", at positions 474 to 903 of the family's 1478-position model. The record is from RNAcentral.